ACAGCAGUAGCCACGGUAAUACGAAGGGUGCAAGCGUUACUCGGAAUUACUGGGCGUAAAGCGUGCGUAGGUGGUGGUUUAAGUCCGUUGUGAAAGCCCUGGGCUCAACCUGGGAAUUGCAGUGGAUACUGGGUCACUAGAGUGUGGUAGAGGAUAGUGGAAUUUCCGGUGUAGCAGUGAAAUGCGUAGAGAUCGGAAGGAACAUCUGUGGCGAAGGCGACUAUCUGGGCCAACACUGACACUGAGGCACGAAAGCGUGGGGAGCAAACAGGAUUAGAUACCCCCGUAGUCCCUGUCUCUUAUAA
Molecule: ribosomal RNA, 305 nt
Filed under: uncultured bacterium
Lineage: Bacteria
Description: partial 16S ribosomal RNA
Rfam family: Bacterial small subunit ribosomal RNA
Source: RNAcentral